RNAcentral lists this long non-coding RNA (863 nucleotides) under Rattus norvegicus (Norway rat). RNAcentral describes it as "long non-coding RNA NONRATT025264". The record is from RNAcentral. Lineage: Eukaryota; Metazoa; Chordata; Mammalia; Rodentia; Muridae.
ACACAAGAGGUUCUUGGGUCAUUCCCCUCAUGUGACAAAUAUUCGAUUUACCAGUGGUGAUCGACAUGUUGUCAGUGCUGGAGGCGAUGACUGCAGCUUGCUUGUCUGGAAAUGUGUACACACGCCUCAUUGAAAGUUACGAUGCUGAGAAGACUAAACAAAUCUCACCUCAAGAGAGCAGUUCCACGUCGGAAAAACCAAAACCAAACUGUGUGGUCAAGUGGUGCUAACUGAAGACUGUGACAGGGAGGGAUGUCCAGAAUCAUCCACACAGCAGCAGACAGUUCAAAAUGCUUGCUGUGCGUACCAACCCAUAGUCCACACACUGCCAGAUAAUUACACUACAAGGAAUGACUGAGCAUUUGGUAAAGCCAACCUCCUCCUCUUACUGAGGGGUGUGGAAUGGCAGACUUGCCCAGGAGAUUUUUAGGGUACAGCAGUCUUUAAACAAACAAACAAACAAACAAACAAACAAAAAACCAACUUAAUCUCACCUCUAAUAUUUCUUAUUAAGGUUUGUUCAAUGAAAUAUUUCAUCCUUGUACAAGGAAAGAAAUACCCAACCAUCGCCCUAAUCUGUUUCCAAUUUUUUUUUUCGGAGCUGGGGACCGAACUCAGGGCCUUGCACUUGCUAGGCAAGCGCUCUACCACUGAGCUAAAUCCCCAACCCCACAAAGAUUUUUCUUAAGGGAACCUAUAUAAGCUUUCCUGGUAAAUGUUUCCCAUUCAUUAAUAAAGUACCCUCUGCAAAGGACACUUCUUAUAGCCUGAAUUAAGGAAUAGAUCCAAAGUCAGCAGUACAUGAGUACUAUAUUUUCACUUUGAGCUGUCAAUUUUUGUGUUUAGAAGCCAUCUCUAUAAAA